GACGAACGCUGGCGGCGUGCUUAACACAUGCAAGUCGAACGGAAAGGCCCUGCUUUUGUGGGGUGCUCGAGUGGCGAACGGGUGAGUAACACGUGAGUAACCUGCCCUUGACUUUGGGAUAACUUCAGGAAACUGGGGCUAAUACCUGAUAGGAGCUCCUGCUGCAUGGUGGGGGUUGGAAAGUUUCGGCGGUUGGGGAUGGACUCGCGGCUUAUCAGCUUGUUGGUGGGGUAGUGGCUUACCAAGGCUUUGACGGGUAGCCGGCCUGAGAGGGUGACCGGCCACAUGGGGACUGAGAUACGGCCCAGACUCCUACGGGAGGCAGCAGUGGGGAAUAUUGCACAAUGGGCGGAAGCCUGAUGCAGCAACGCCGCGUGCGGGAUGACGGCCUUCGGGUUGUAAACCGCUUUCGCCUGUGACGAAGCGUGAGUGACGGUAAUGGGUAAAGAAGCACCGGCUAACUACGUG
This 468-nucleotide ribosomal RNA is filed under the name uncultured bacterium. RNAcentral's name for it is "partial 16S ribosomal RNA". It matches the Rfam family "Bacterial small subunit ribosomal RNA", at positions 28 to 507 of the family's 1533-position model. The record is from RNAcentral.